GCUAAACGCGAAGAACCUUACCUGGUCUUGACAUCCACGGAAUCCCGAAGAGAUUUGGGAGUGCCGCAAGGAACCGUGAGACAGGUGCUGCAUGGCUGUCGUCAGCUCGUGUCGCGAGAUGUUGGGUUAAGUCCCGCAACGAGCGCAACCCUUGCCUUUAGUUGCCAGCGAGUCAUGUCGGGCACUCUAAGGAGACUGCCUCGGAUAACGAGGAGGAAGGUGGGGAUGACGUCAAGUCAGCAUGGCCUUUAUGUCCAGGGCUACACACGUGCUACAAUGGGCGGCACAGAAGGACGCGAGACCGCGAGGUCAAGCCAACCCUUAAAACCGUUCUCAGUUCGGAUUGCAGGCUGCAAUUCGCCUGCAUGAAGUCGGAAUCGCUAGUAAUCGCGGAUCAGCUACGCCGCGGUGAAUACGUUCUCGGGUCUUGUACACACCG
Molecule: ribosomal RNA, 439 nt
Filed under: uncultured bacterium
Lineage: Bacteria
Description: bacterial SSU rRNA
Rfam family: Bacterial small subunit ribosomal RNA
Source: RNAcentral